Molecule: ribosomal RNA, 784 nt
Filed under: uncultured bacterium
Lineage: Bacteria
Description: bacterial SSU rRNA
Rfam family: Bacterial small subunit ribosomal RNA
Source: RNAcentral
AGCCGGUCUAACGGCCGGGUAAUACCGCGUAAGACGUUGAGAUCGCAUGAUUUCGAGGUGAAAGCGGCCGAAGUCCGCCAGAGGAGGGGCUCGCGGCCUAUCAGCUUGUUGGUGGGGUAACGGCCUACCAAGGCUACGACGGGUAGCUGGUCUGAGAGGAUGAUCAGCCACAUUGGGACUGAGAUACGGCCAGACUCCUACGGGAGGCAGCAGUGGGGAAUAUUGCGCAAUGGCCGAAAGUGACGCAGCGACGCCGUGUGUGGGAUGAAGGCCCUCGGGUUGUAAACCACUGUCAGGGGGGACGAAUACUCGGCCUCGAAUAAAGGACCGAGGGUGACGGUACCCCCAGAGGAAGCACCGGCUAACUCCGUGCCAGCAGCCGCGGUAAGACGGAGGGUGCAAGCGUUGUCCGGAUUUACUGGGCGUAAAGCGCGCGUAGGUGGCCGUUUAAGUCACUUGUGAAAGCCCGGGGCUCAACCCCGGACUGCAGGCGAAACUGGACGGCUAGAGCUCGGUAGAGGCGAGUGGAAUUCCAGGUGUAGCGGUGGAAUGCGUAGAUAUCUGGAAGAACACCAGUGGCGAAGGGACUCGCUGGGCCGAUGCUGACACUGAGGUGCGAAAGGUGGGGAGCAAACAGGAUUAGAUACCCUGGUAGUCCACGCCGUAAACGAUGGGUACUAGGCGUCGGGGGGAGCGACCCCUUCGGUGCCGUCGCUAACGCAGUAAGUACCCCGCCUGGGGAGUACGGCCGCAAGUGAAACUCAAAGGAAUUGACGGGGGCCCG